This 506-nucleotide ribosomal RNA is filed under the name uncultured bacterium. RNAcentral describes it as "partial 16S ribosomal RNA". It matches the Rfam family "Bacterial small subunit ribosomal RNA", at positions 29 to 523 of the family's 1533-position model. The record is from RNAcentral.
AGUGAACGCUGGCGGUAGGCCUAACACAUGCAAGUCGAACGGCAGCACAGGAGAGCUUGCUCUCUGGGUGGCGAGUGGCGGACGGGUGAGGAAUACAUCGGAAUCUGCUCUGUCGUGGGGGAUAACGUAGGGAAACUUACGCUAAUACCGCAUACGACCUACGGGUGAAAGCAGGGGAUCUUCGGACCUUGCGCGAUUGAAUGAGCCGAUGUCGGAUUAGCUAGUUGGCGGGGUAAAGGCCCACCAAGGCGACGAUCCGUAGCUGGUCUGAGAGGAUGAUAAGCCACACUGGAACUGAGACACGGUCCAGACUCCUACGGGAGGCAGCAGUGGGGAAUAUUGGACAAUGGGCGCGAGCCUGAUCCAGCCAUACCGCGUGGGUGAAGAAGGCCUUCGGGUCGUAAAGCCCUUUUGUUGGGAAAGAAAUCCAGCUGGCUAAUACCCGGUUGGGAUGACGGUACCCAAAGAAUAAGCACCGGCUAACUUCGUGCCAGCCGCCGCCGUAA